This 1470-nucleotide ribosomal RNA is filed under the name metagenome. RNAcentral describes it as "bacterial SSU rRNA". It matches the Rfam family "Bacterial small subunit ribosomal RNA". The record is from RNAcentral.
AGAGUUUGAUCAUGGCUCAGGACGAACGCUGGCGGCACGCUUAACACAUGCAAGUCGAACGAGAGAAGAGGAGCUUGCUUUUCUGAUCUAGUGGCGGACGGGUGAGUAACACGUGAGCAAUCUGCCUUUCAGAGGGGGAUACCGAUUGGAAACGAUCGUUAAUACCGCAUAACAUAAUUGAACCGCAUGAUUUGAUUAUCAAAGAUUUAUCGCUGAAAGAUGAGCUCGCGUCUGAUUAGCUAGUUGGUAAGGUAACGGCUUACCAAGGCGACGAUCAGUAGCCGGACUGAGAGGUUGAUCGGCCACAUUGGGACUGAGACACGGCCCAGACUCCUACGGGAGGCAGCAGUGGGGGAUAUUGCACAAUGGAGGAAACUCUGAUGCAGCGAUGCCGCGUGAGGGAAGAAGGUUUUAGGAUUGUAAACCUCUGUCUUCAGGGACGAAAAAAGACGGUACCUGAGGAGGAAGCUCCGGCUAACUACGUGCCAGCAGCCGCGGUAAUACGUAGGGAGCGAGCGUUGUCCGGAAUUACUGGGUGUAAAGGGAGCGUAGGCGGGAUCGCAAGUCAGAUGUGAAAACUAUGGGCUUAACCCAUAAACUGCAUUUGAAACUGUGGUUCUUGAGUGAAGUAGAGGUAAGCGGAAUUCCUAGUGUAGCGGUGAAAUGCGUAGAUAUUAGGAGGAACAUCAGUGGCGAAGGCGGCUUACUGGGCUUUAACUGACGCUGAGGCUCGAAAGCGUGGGGAGCAAACAGGAUUAGAUACCCUGGUAGUCCACGCCGUAAACGAUGAUUACUAGGUGUGGGGGGACUGACCCCUUCCGUGCCGCAGCAAACGCAAUAAGUAAUCCACCUGGGGAGUACGACCGCAAGGUUGAAACUCAAAGGAAUUGACGGGGGCCCGCACAAGCAGUGGAGUAUGUGGAUUAAUUCGAAGCAACGCGAAGAACCUUACCAGGUCUUGACAUCGUAUGCAUAGCUCAGAGAUGAGUGAAAUCUCUUCGGAGACAUAUAGACAGGUGGUGCAUGGUUGUCGUCAGCUCGUGUCGUGAGAUGUUGGGUUAAGUCCCGCAACGAGCGCAACCCUUACUGUUAGUUGCUACGCAAGAGCACUCUAGCAGGACUGCCGUUGACAAAACGGAGGAAGGUGGGGAUGACGUCAAAUCAUCAUGCCCCUUAUGACCUGGGCCUCACACGUACUACAAUGGCUGUCAACAGAGGGAAGCAAAGCCGCGAGGUGGAGCGAACCCCUAAAAGCAGUCUUAGUUCGGAUUGUAGGCUGCAACCCGCCUACAUGAAGUCGGAAUUGCUAGUAAUCGCAGAUCAGCAUGCUGCGGUGAAUACGUUCCCGGGCCUUGUACACACCGCCCGUCACGCCAUGGGAGUCGGUAACACCCGAAGCCUGUAGUCUAACCGCAAGGAGGACGCAGUCGAAGGUGGGAUUGAUGACUGGGGUGAAGUCGUAACAAGGUA